CAACCUUCUUAAAUCUCUCAUAGUAGUAUCACACAUUCUUCUCAUCUUAUUUUCCAUGUAGGUCUCGCGUAUUCUACUCUAAUAAGUCCUCUAUUAUGUUCUUUCUUUUUUAUCUUUUAUGUUACUAUUUUUUCUUCUAAUUACGUUUUUAUUGCACUUUUCUUCUCAAUCUCGCAUCUCUUAUGUUAUUUUUUUCAUCUUUUCUAAUCUCUCAUCUCAUAUGUUUUUUUAUGUUUUAUUAUAAUGUCUUUGAUAUUAUUUUAUACUACUAUUUAUAUUUGUCUUUUAUUUCACUUUUUUCUAAUCUGGUUUUUUGUAUAUUGAAUGGAACGUUUGUCUAAAUAUGA
RNAcentral lists this long non-coding RNA (347 nucleotides) under Lathyrus oleraceus (garden pea). RNAcentral describes it as "Pisum sativum (pea) long non-coding RNA (PSAT_LNC012633)". The record is from RNAcentral. Lineage: Eukaryota; Viridiplantae; Streptophyta; Magnoliopsida; Fabales; Fabaceae.